GGGUCGGGAAAGUGACACGGCCACGCCCACUAUGACGGGCCACGCCCGGCGCUGCUCCAGGCUGGGCUGCGCCCUUUGCUGCUCCGUCCCCCGCUCCCCUCCCCGGUUCCCCGCGCUCCGCCCUCUUUGGCGUGUUUCCCCCUGUAGGUCGCUCUCCUCUUUGCAACAUGAGACGGCUGCGCCCGAAGUUCAAAUCAGUGAGUGACCUCUGUGCUAGUGGAAACGGAUUUCUCCAAAAAGGAGCAGCGGCCAGUGCUAGCCUUUCAAAGCACUGGGAGCAGCCUGAGAGCAAGCCCUCUUUACGCUGAUGUAACUUGCAUUGUAAGGGUGUCUUGCUUAUGAAAGGCAGCGUGUCAUAAUCUCACCGAGGAUUAGCGAUGUCUUUGAAUGACACCUUGAUGAAGGCGUGUAGGUCAGUCAGUCCUCUUUAACCUUGUGCCCUUCGGUUUGUUGGACUACAAAUACCAGUAUCCCCAUCCAGCUACCUAAAGUCUCACAAUACCCUGGUCCCUGUUGUGUCCUACUACAUUUGUUUGUUUAUAUUUAUAUUCUCCCCCUCAUUUCCUGUAAGGUGGUUCAUAAUCCUCUCUGUUUUCUCUUCACAACAACUCUGUAUGGUAGCUUAGGCUGCGAGUUAGUGACUAGUCCAAAGUCACCUGGUGAGCUUCAUGGCUGAAUGGGGACUUAGAACCCUGAUCUCCCAAGACCCUGUCCGACACUUUAACGCUUACUCUGUGCUGCUUGUGGAAGCAGUCUAUUCCACUUUAUUUCUUUAUUUCAUUUACAUCCCACCUUUUUCCAUUACAGAACUUGAGGUGACUUCCUGUUUCCAUGUGGGCUCCCUUGCAAGUACUGGCCAAGUCCAGACCUACUUAGCGUCAGCAUGGUGACUGCCUCCUAUACCUUCAGUCCAUAUGCUGGGAUCCCAUAUAUGUUGAUAUGAAUCUGGGAUUUAGUUUAGCAGAUAUAAAUACUGUACAGAUCUGUGUUCUCUUGUGUAUGUUACAGGCAAAGGGAAACCAUAUACUUGUGAAAGCUGUAUUAGUGCCAUUCCUUUAUUACGUUCACCAAAAGGCCACAAAAUUGUGUAUUUUCUGCAAUCUUCAGAUCUAUUCAUUGGAAAGGACCCAAACCAAACCAAACCAAGCUGACAUGGAUGUCACUGGAGCAAUCUACUUUCCGUUUGGGUGCAAUCCAUUUUUGGGCCCUCCUAAACAACCACUCAAAAGGUAAACAGCUUAUAUUAGAGCAUGUCUGCAAAGUGUGUUUUCAUAUGCAGUCAGCUCAGUUCAAAUCAGCUUCACUUUCAGUUGACUUCUGCCAAAUAUAAAUGCAAAAUGUGCCUUAGGUUGACAUGGGACAUUGUUUUGCUAAUCAUCUCCAUUGCCAACAGUAUGAGAACUUCUUAAGGCUCAUUUCCUGUGCUCGUUUAGAAAGAAAAGAAAUACUGGCACAUGCUGGGAGUUGUAGGCCUUUUUCCCCUAAACUUGCAUAGGAUGUUCCCUCAGUUACAGCUGUGAUUAUUAAUGUUUGAAAGAACAGAAGCAUUCUUCUCAAUGCUGGUAUUAUAACAAACUGAUAGAAAAUAUCCUACAUAUAAUGAUGUUGCUAAUAUUUCUUAUUUAUGAUACAUUAAGAACAUUCAUGCAAAUACCUCAAGACAGUCAAAUUCUCUUUUGUUGUCUUGCAAACAGCCUUCAGGUUAGGACAGCUGGAUAACUUUGUAUGUUAAAUAAUUUGAGAGAGCUUAAUUUUUUAAGAAAAGAGGUACUGGCACACAGUUUUGCCCUAAAGGCAGAUGCUUAGGAUGGGGAUGGAGAAUAUGUGGCCAUCCAGAUGAUGAUACAAUCCAAGUACCAUCAGAUUUGUACCCCUUCUUUCAAAGCAAAACCCCUCCUAAGAUGACUUACCAAAAAACAAAAAGAGCAAUUAUUUAAAUGCAACUUAAAAACCAUGUCCUUCUUUAUUACUAUUUAUCAAGUGACAGUGCUGAAUUCUAACACCUAAAAUUACUUCCAGGUGCCAUCAUCCUUAGGAAAUUUGCUUUAGUAGCAGGUUUUUUCCAAAUACAAAGCAUUUCUUUUGGCUGCUUGCCCUCAUAUUGGCCCUGUGAAGUAGGAAAAAGAGACAUGCAACAGUUUGCACAAGAAAUCAGAAUUCACAGUGGCUGCUCUGCUGUGAUGGAACUCCAUUCUCUUGUUGCUCAUCAAAGGUUAUGAUCUUAUCCACAUAGAAUAACUAUCAUUUGAAAAACACAAGUUGGAUUAUAAUGCACAAGUGGCCAUGCUGCCUGCAGCCCUAUUGCCUCUUUCACUUCACACAACCCACCAUUUGUAGACUGUGCAGCGUAACAUGAGAACCCAGACCCAUGGUUAAUCCAUGGCUUGUUUUCAAGCACAGUCUUCUGGCUUGGGCCAGAAAACUGAUGGGUUGUCAUUAUGUGUGAACAGCCCUGCCUGGCAACCUGGUGGAGCCACUGCAAAUCUUUGCCACAAGAACUGACUUUGGUGUAUAGAACUAAAUUGUUCGGUUGUAUAUUGUUUCCCUUAGUUUUAACAGAUUGAUUUUUAUAGCACUUAGCUAAUUAAUUUUACUAGACAUGAGCCUCUGAAAUGGAUGGACUUCAAAUGAUACACAUGCAGACACACAAAGGCUGUUCUGUGUUAUACAUAUUUAUAAUUAAAUGCAGAAAGUAAAAGGGCACUCCAACCCCAAGCCCUCAAAAAUAGAUGGUGAAUACAAUUUGGUUAAUAAUUAGCAUUAUGCAUCAGCUGCUGAUGUUACACUAGCCUAAGAUUCUGUUUACUUGGCCCUAGCCGGAGCUUCUACUCAUCCCAUGGCAACAGCUCAGAGUAGCUAAGGUGGUGGCUUAGGGCAAACAGCCUCUUCUUUUUAUUUAUAGCAGCAUACUAGGUUCUUAAGCAGGACUUGGUUGCUCCUGGGCCCACAACCUGCAGUGAGUAUCCUCUGCAUUAUUUUCUCUGACUGCUUGCUUUCUCCUUAGUGGCAUUAAACCAUGACUGAAACUACCCCCAGGUGGAUGCUUUGGAGCAACCAUUCCCAGCCUGGUGUGCUCAGGUGUUGGACUCCAGUUCCCAUUACUCCCAGUUCCCAUUGCCCAGUGGCCCGGAAUGUGAGAAUAGCUUUCAAAACAUCUGGAAGGCACAGCUUAGGAAGAGUUUCAAGAAAGAAGGCUCUAAUGUAUGAUGAUUUUAAAGAUGAUUAGGACUUGGAGGAAUGACCACUUAGGAUGCAAUUCUAUAUACAUUUAAACAGAAAAAAGUCCUGCAACUCGCAGUGUGCCCCAUGGAGUUGCAGGGCUUUCUUCUUCCUAAACAAGCGCAGGACCGACCGUGCCCCUGAUGGCCGGAACAGCACACCCAGGACCUGGGACUUAAUGGCUUUCCCCUUUAGAUGGCCCUGUGUAUUUUUUCAGUGGUGAAAAACAGUUGCGACAUUUCGCUUUCUCUCUUGAACUGCCAUCUCAUGCUUCAGAACUGCUUCUGAUUCCUGGUACAUUGGAACAUCAACACUGUUUGCUGCCCCAAAUGAAAACACAUGCUCUGAGCACAUGCACUUUGGCAUUUUAAAUGCACUUAGGUUCAACUAACCACUGGAUUAAAAUAGUUUACUUCUGCAUCAACUCUCACUGGGUGGCUGUGUAGGAACUCCUGGACUGAGGUCCCAAAGCUCAGCCCAAGCAGCACCACUGUGAAGCAGCUAACAAUGGAACAUCCAUAUUCAAGAGCAGUUGUCCUAGGAGCCAGACUCAAGUAUCAGCCAUCUCUAUCAUGUCUUGCUUGAAGCAUCCAAAGUGGCAUUUUGCCAGCUGCCCAGGAUGGUGUCCUGCACUGUAGGGGUAAGCAAUCUUAUGUCUUUCAGAUGCUUUGGACUACAAUUCCUAUAAUUCAUCCCUGUGCAUUGGCUGUACUGGCUGGGGCUGAUAAGAGUUGAGGUUGAAACCCUCUGGCAGAAACCAGGUUGCAGAACCCUAGUGUGACUGGAGUGAUGGACUUGGGUGGGAAAAUCAGGGUGCAGCCCCAGUCGGUGGGAUCCAGCCAUGAAGCUCCCUGGGUGGUCUUGGGACGGUUGCAAUUUCACAACUGAGUACAACCUCACAGGGUUGUGAAGUUAAAAUGGUUGUGGGAGGGAGGGUUGUUUAUGCUGCUUUGAGUCCUUAGUGGCAAGGCAGGGUAUAAAUACGAUCGAUAUAAAAACACUCUUGAACUCUCUUUACUUGUGAUGUGUUGAUCUCUGUUCUUUUCAAAGGGACCCAGUGAGAGUUUAUUGUGACAUCACCUUGAUGAUGUGGGUUCAAUGACUCCACAGAGUCAACAGUUGCUAAAUAUUUCUGGGGAAACUGUGUUACUGAGUUGAAUUCCAAAGGGAUGUAUCCCUCCUGGUGUGCUUACUCUUUGACGAAGGAAAUUGAGCCAAUUGUGGCUCCAGAAAGUUUGUUUAUGGGCUUGGAGUGCCUGGUUGUAGCUCAGGUAUCCAGAAGGGUACAAGUAGAGAGCCAGUGUGGUGUAGUGGUUAAGAGCACGGGACUGGGACUCAGACAACCUGGGUUCUAGUCCCUGCUCAGCCAUAGAGCCAACUGGGUGACUUUGGGCCAGUCACAGACUCUCAGCCCAACCUACCUCACAGCGUUGUUGUUGUGGGGAUAAGAUGGAGGAGGAGAAUGAUGUAAGCUGCCUUGAGCCCUUUGUAGGAAAAAGGCAGGAUAUAAAUUGAAAAAUAAAUAAUGUUCCCUUAUGAAAGUUGCACAGAAUGGGUGGGACAACUCCAGCCUUGGGGUGGGGGCUGAAAAAGCCAUCCUGGGGAAAGAAGAUCUGGCCACAGUGGUCCAUGCCUCAAUAACAUCUCACUUGGAUUACUGUAGCAGACUCUGCUUGAAAAGUGUUCAAAUUACACCUAAAUUUCUAAAGCACAGAGGUCAACAGACUGAUUUUACAGAACAUUUCACACCAGUUCAGCGUAAUUUGCUCCCGAUUUAUUUCCAAGCCCAAUUCAAGGAGCUGCAUCUCUGAAGGAUUCCUUCCUUCCCAUAUCAACUGGCCUGUAAUUUAUGAUCAUGAUUACCAGCCCUGUUGAUACACCCCUCAUUAAUCUAGAUUGGCUAGUUUGAUGAAUGGCUUUUCGUGUAUGUAUGUAUGUACAGAGAAACAAAUACACAUUCCAACACACACACACACACACACACACACACGUAUAUAUGAAAAUACAACUUUCUAAAAAGUUCUAUAUUAAAUUCAGCAAAAGCAAGAAAAUAUUCAUAUAUGCAUCUAUUCAUGGCAAUCCAUUGCUUAGGCAAAAUAGGACAGUAAAUCAUAUCUAGUCACGGAUAACAAUUAUUUAUAAACAUGGAUUGUGGGUCAUGUGAUAUAUUUGAUCAGCCUCUCUUAGUACCACCAAUAGUGGAGGAGACUCAGACACUUCAACAGUGGCAGGACCAGACCUAGACUGCAAAUGCCAGUCUUGCCAUUCGGUGGUAACAUGCAUCUACUAACUAAUCCAAGGUGAAAUCGAAUUGUUCCGUCAAGUCUGCCACAAAAUAUUUUCUCACCAAUUCAUUUAUCUGGAUUUCUCAGCAGAAUCAAUUUAGCAUGGAAAAAUGGAUUGAAUUAUAACUAACAUGAUGUGAUAUUUCAGACAUCUCUAAGUGCAGUAAUUGUGAAAAGGUCCCAGUCCAUGUUAGUAUGCUGGUAUCCUGUUGCCUGCAUCCACCUGCAGGGAUACUUCAGGCAGGAGAAUUCCAGACGUGACCCAGGUAGAAUAUCUAAGCUAAAUGGAAAAGGUGAAGCGUUAGUAUACAUCAACGAAUAGCCCCAAAUUAUUGAAAGCAUGACCUUGAAAGUCAAACCCACCCUUAUUCGGAAGUUACAUUUUUAAAGAUAUUUGCAGUAAGGUGGAAGUCCUCAUGUCAAAUCAGGUAAUACAUGCAAUUAAGAAACAGAGCAUUUAAGUUUUUAAAAACAUUUACCUUCUUUUAAUGGAACUACCCUGAAUACUAUAUCAUUCCCCUGAGGUUUUAAUAGUUUUUAAUGCUGCACUUUGAUUUGAAUUAAUAUUCUGGCUUGAGGUGUGUUUUGUUUUUGUUACUUUGAUCAUUCCCAAAUAUCUUUUAUUGAACUGUGAGUUGUAACUGCACUUAUCUGUUUCAAGUUUUAUUUUAUGCUGGUGUAUCUUGUUUUUAAACUGUUUGCUGCUGUUGCUUUUCCAUUAUUUUAUUGUGUUUUUAAUGCUUCUGUUACUGUGCUGAUUUUUAUUAUGUGUUUUACUAUUGUACACUGCCUUGUAGAGGUACUCAAGAAAUAUUUUAAAUAAAAGAAAACAAUAAUGUA
This is a long non-coding RNA of Varanus komodoensis (Komodo dragon), 6344 nucleotides long. RefSeq lists it as uncharacterized. The record is from RefSeq and is a predicted model, not a curated record. The transcript has 2 exons. NCBI's taxonomy places the organism in Eukaryota, Metazoa, Chordata, Lepidosauria, Squamata, Varanidae.